Molecule: ribosomal RNA, 497 nt
Filed under: uncultured bacterium
Lineage: Bacteria
Description: partial 16S ribosomal RNA
Rfam family: Bacterial small subunit ribosomal RNA
Source: RNAcentral
GACGAACGCUGGCGGCGUGCCUAAUACAUGCCAGUUGAGCGAUGACGCUUGGUGCUUUCGCCAAUUUGAAGAGCAGCGAACGGGCGAGUAACGCGUGCGUAAUCUGCCUUUUAGCGGGGGACAAUAUUUGGAAACGAAUGCUAAUACCACAUCACAACUUUAAACAUAAGUUUCAAGUUUGAUAGAUGCAAUUCCAUCAUUCAAAGAUCAUCCCGCGUUUAAUUAGGUAGGUGGUGAGGUUAAGGCUCACCAAGGCGAACGUACAUAGCCUGCCUGAGAGGGUGGUCAGGCACAUUGGGACUGAGGACAGGCCCAAACUCCCACGGGGGGGAGCAGGAGGGGAUCAUAGGACAAGGACGAAAGGCUGACCGCGGAACGCCGGGGGAGUGAAGAAGGGUUUCGGGUCGUAAAACUCUGUUUGUAGGGAAGAAAGUUGGUGAGAGUGGAAAGCUGAUGAAGUGACGGUAACUACACAGAAAGGGACGGCUAACUACGUG